AGAGUUUGAUCCUGGCUCAGGAUGAACGCUAGCGACAGGCUUAACACAUGCAAGUCGAGGGGCAGCGGAGGCGAGUGCUUGCACUUGCCAGACGGCGACCGGCGCACGGGUGAGUAACACGUAUGCGACCUGCCCGUAGCAGGGGGAUAAGCGGAAGAAAUUCCGUCUAAUACCGCGUAAUAUCUUUCGGGGGCAUCCCUGAGGGAUUAAAGGAAGCGAUUCCGGCUACGGAUGGGCAUGCGGCGCAUUAGCUAGUCGGCGGGGUAACGGCCCACCGAGGCGACGAUGCGUAGGGGUUCUGAGAGGAAGGUCCCCCACACUGGUACUGAGACACGGACCAGACUCCUACGGGAGGCAGCAGUGAGGAAUAUUGGUCAAUGGGCGAGAGCCUGAACCAGCCAAGUCGCGUGAGGGAAGACGGUCCUAUGGAUUGUAAACCUCUUUUGUCGGGGAGCAAAAAGGCCUCGUGAGGCCACAAGCGAGAGUACCCGAAGAAAAAGCAUCGGCUAACUCCGUGCCAGCAGCCGCGGUAAUACGGAGGAUGCGAGCGUUAUCCGGAUUUAUUGGGUUUAAAGGGUGCGUAGGCGGACUGGAAAGUCAGCGGUAAAAUCGAGAGGCUCAACCUCUUUCCGCCGUUGAAACUGUCGGUCUUGAGUGGGCGAGAAGUAUGCGGAAUGCGUGGUGUAGCGGUGAAAUGCAUAGAUAUCACGCAGAACUCCGAUUGCGAAGGCAGCAUACCGGCGCCCAACUGACGCUGAGGCACGAAAGCGUGGGUAUCGAACAGGAUUAGAUACCCUGGUAGUCACGCAGUAAACGAUGAAUACUAAUUGUCCGGUCAGAAUGAUGACUGGGUGAUACAGCGAAAGCGUUAAGUAUUCCACCUGGGGAGUACGCCGGCAACGGUGAAACUCAAAGGAAUUGACGGGGGCCCGCACAAGCGGAGGAACAUGUGGUUUAAUUCGAUGAUACGCGAGGAACCUUACCCGGGCUCAAACGACACAGGAACGUACCUGAAAGGGUUCGGCUCUACGGAGCCUGUGUCGAGGUGCUGCAUGGUUGUCGUCAGCUCGUGCCGUGAGGUGUCGGCUUAAGUGCCAUAACGAGCGCAACCCCCAUCGACAGUUGCUAACAGGUCAGGCUGAGGACUCUGUCGAGACUGCCGGCGCAAGCUGCGAGGAAGGCGGGGAUGACGUCAAAUCAGCACGGCCCUUACGUCCGGGGCGACACACGUGUUACAAUGGCAGGUACAGCGGGAAGCCACCUGGCGACAGGGAGCGGAACCCGAAAGCCUGUCUCAGUUCGGAUUGGAGUCUGCAACCCGACUCCAUGAAGCUGGAUUCGCUAGUAAUCGCGCAUCAGCCACGGCGCGGUGAAUACGUUCCCGGGCCUUGCACACAACGCCCGUCA
This 1407-nucleotide ribosomal RNA is filed under the name uncultured bacterium. RNAcentral describes it as "16S ribosomal RNA". It matches the Rfam family "Bacterial small subunit ribosomal RNA". The record is from RNAcentral.